Molecule: ribosomal RNA, 822 nt
Filed under: uncultured bacterium
Lineage: Bacteria
Description: bacterial SSU rRNA
Rfam family: Bacterial small subunit ribosomal RNA
Source: RNAcentral
GUCGAACGGAUGAAUAAGCUUGCUUACUUCGUUAGUGGCGCACGGGUGAGUCAUUUAUAGCUAACCUGCCCUUUAGUGGGGGACAAACAGAUGGAAACGUCUGCUAAUACCCCAUACUCCUGCUUAUCAUAAGGUAAGUUGGGAAAGAUUUAUUGCUAAAGGAUGGGGCUUUAUGGUAUCAGCUAGUUGGUGGGGUAACGGCCUACCAAGGCUAUGACGCCUACCUGGUCUGAGAGGAUGAUCAGGCACACUGGAACUGAGACACGGUCCAGACUCCUACGGGAGGCAGCAGUGGGGAAUAUUGCACAAUGGAGGAAACUCUGAUGCAGCAACGCCGCGUGGAGGAUGACGCAUUUCGGUGUGUAAACUCCUUUUAUAAGGGAAGAUAAUGACGGUACCUUAUGAAUAAGCACCGGCUAACUCCGUGCCAGCAGCCGCGGUCAAUACGGAGGGUGCAAGCGUUACUCGGAAUCACUGGGCGUAAAGGAUGCGUAGGCUGGAAAUCAAGUCGAGAGUGAAAUCCAACGGCUCAACCGUUGAACUGCUCUCGAAACUGGUUACCUAGAAUAUGGGAGAGGUAGAUGGAAUUGGUGGUGUAGGGGUAAAAUCCGUAGAUAUCACCAGGAAUACCGAUUGCGAAGGCGAUCUACUGGACAACAUUAUUGACGCUGAGGCAUGAAAGCGUGGGGAGCAAACAGGAUUAGAUACCCUGGUAGUCCACGCCCUAAACGAAGCACACUAGUUGUUGCGAUGCUAGUCAUUGCAGUAAUGCACUUAACAGAUUAAGUGUGCCCCCUGGGGAGGACGGUCGCAAGAUUAAAA